This 428-nucleotide ribosomal RNA is filed under the name uncultured prokaryote. Its description in RNAcentral is "bacterial SSU rRNA". It matches the Rfam family "Bacterial small subunit ribosomal RNA", at positions 355 to 774 of the family's 1533-position model. The record is from RNAcentral.
UGAGGAAUUUUGCGCAAUGGGAGCAAUCCUGACGCAGCAACGCCGCGUGGGUGAUGAAGGCCUUCGGGUCGUAAAGCCCUGUCAGGUGGGAAGAAUGUCCCGGGACUGAACAGGUUCCGGGAGUGACGGUACCACCAGAGGAAGCACCGGCUAACUCCGUGCCAGCAGCCGCGGUAAUCCGGAGGGUGCAAGAGUUAUUCGGAAUUACUGGGCGUAAAGCGCGUGUAGGCGGUCCUGCAAGUCUGAGGUGAAAGCCCCGGGCUUAACCCGGGAAGUGCAUUGGAAACUGUGGGACUUGAGUACGGGAGAGGAUGGGGGAAUUCCCGGUGUAGAGGUGAAAUUCGUAGAGAUCGGGAGGAAUAUCAGUGGCGAAGGCGCCCAUCUGGACGGUAACUGACGCUGAGACGCGAAAGCGUGGGGAGCAAACA